GGAAAACCCUCACAUUGAUAUAUUUGAAUUGCCUUUUAUUAAUAUAAAUAUCUUUUCAUAAUGGUUCAUUUAUUUAUUUAGUUCUUCAAAUGUCGACGCCAUUUGCUAAAAAUCUUGCGUACAUCACGGAAGACAACAAUAAACCUUAGUGAAGCAGCAAGUACAAAUUAUGCACCUGCAAAUUGCAGAUCUUAUGAAAUAACAGAGACCUUAAGAAGCCAGAUAAGCAACUCAUAAAUUAUAUAAAAUAACGGUUUUUCGGUGGCGGUAAAUGAUGGUGGAUGUCUUGGGAUCCAUGACUUGGUGUAUAGUCAAUAAUCACUAUUGAAUCAUCUUGAUCAUUGUUUGUAUAUUUCUCCAUUUCAUUAACCUUAGCUGGAGUACAUGCAUAAGCUUGUAUUGAUUCAAUUUCUCUUCUUCCAAUUCCUCCUGCUAAUAAGUAUAACAAAUGAAUAUAUAUAAAAAAAUAGGCAUCAGUUUGAUAUAUUUGUGAGAUGAAAUAUAUAUAUAAAACAAUGAAAGAGAGGGGGCCGGAAUAAAAUUACCUUGUGUCACUGUUAUAAUGAAGCACACCAAAAAGAUGGUCUUCAAAAGAAGAAGAUUUGUAGUUGCAACAGCCUCAACCAUGACUACUAUACUACACUAUCAAAAUAUUUCUGAUGAAAG
RNAcentral lists this long non-coding RNA (666 nucleotides) under Nicotiana tabacum (common tobacco). Its description in RNAcentral is "long non-coding RNA (NTAB_LNC007742)". The record is from RNAcentral. Lineage: Eukaryota; Viridiplantae; Streptophyta; Magnoliopsida; Solanales; Solanaceae.